CUACGGGAGGCAGCAGUGGGGAAUAUUGGACACUGGGGGAAACCCUGAUCCAGCCAUGCCGCGUGAGUGAAGAAGGCCUUAGGGUUGUAAAGCUCUUUCACCUGCGACGAUGAUGACGGUAGCAGGAGAAGAAGCCCCGGCUAACUCCGUGCCAGCAGCCGCGGUAAUACGGAGGGGGCUAGCGUUGUUCGGAAUCACUGGGCGUAAAGCGCGCGUAGGCGGCGGAUCAAGUUAGGCGUGAAAGGCCUGGGCUCAACCUGGGAACUGCGCUUGAUACUGGUUUGCUGGAGUCCGGGAGAGGGUGGUGGAAUUCCAAGUGUAGAGGUGAAAUUCGUAGAUAUUUGGAGGAACACCGGUGGCGAAGGCGGCCACCUGGCCCGGCACUGACGCUGAGGCGCGAAAGCGUGGGGAGCAAACAGGAUUAGAAACCCCAGUAGUCC
RNAcentral lists this ribosomal RNA (440 nucleotides) under uncultured bacterium. RNAcentral's name for it is "bacterial SSU rRNA". It matches the Rfam family "Bacterial small subunit ribosomal RNA", at positions 339 to 796 of the family's 1533-position model. The record is from RNAcentral.